UGCUCCCACCCUCCCUCUGCCUCCUUCUCUGGGCUGCAUGUAAGGAGAUCACUUUGUUUCCGUAGCCUUUUUCCGCGGUGCAGCAGACACACAUGGAGAAGAGGAUUGAAUUUGAGGAGAUACUGACAGGGUGGGAGGUGGAGUGGAUUGGGGAGGGGGUGGUGGUGUUUCACAGCUGCAAGAAUCCCCUCCAUCUUCCCCACACCAGGGCUAAUGCUCCCCUCCCUCUCCCGCUCUCUUCUCGGGGUGUUUGACUCUCCCUCUGCUGCGCUGUCUAUGCUUUCUGCCUGUCGGAGGGGUGGGGGUGCCAUAUGGAGGCUCCGAAAAAUUUAAGCGGAUCGGAGAUAAAGUGAGAGGAACCUUACAUUUGCGAGCUCAGAUGUCGGGAACUAUGUGGGCGGUGAACUUCCAAUUUGUCUCACCAGAAUGUCCUUCACCCUGCCCAGUACACAUUCAUGGGCCUUCAGGUAAUAGUCCGUCUCUCUCAGUGCUCAGAGGUAAGCCGGAUCACAGCAACACACCACCAGUCUCUAGCUGCGCUUCCAUUACAAACAUGCGCAAAACUUUGUCAAUAUUCUGCUAAUAUGUAUUAAAAAAAGAUCAACCUCCAUUUGUCAAUUAUGUGACUCGUGAUAUGAGAAAAGUGUUUCCAUUGCAGUUUUGCCAAGUAAACCAAUUCUGACACGGCCAAUCAAGAAAACAUGUUCUCCUCCUGGCAAAACUUUUUAUCGAAAAAAAUUAGUUUUUUCAAAAUUGCCGUUUCCAUUAGGCAAAUUUUUUUUCCAGACGUCAAGUUGUGCAUUUACAUGGUUUAUGGAAACGCAGCUACUAACUUCCUGCUCUUCAGUGUUCCUGUCCUCUGUGUUGUCGGCCGACAGAAGCAGAGGACAGUGUCAGCUUUGCGCGACUGUCCUGUUUUGCUUGUGUAGUUGCAUCAGCCUUGCGAGUCAGUAAAGAGAGUCGUACUGCGCUAACACACGCUCUGCGUGAGAUAAUUAGCCUGGAGUCGUUUGAAAGCAACUCGGCUCUGCCCAGGUGUCCAGCGCUCACAGAGGGAGACCAGACGACCUUUCCCUACGCCCCGUCCCACUGCAGUCACUUAAAACAGUGAUGGAUGUCCCUUCAUGCGCCCGUCCCACCACCCUCCACUCUGCUUCAGCAACACUCUCACCUUAUUUGUCCCUUCUCUUUCUCCCUUCUCCGCCAUUCGUUGCCUUUUAUGCCCCCCACCCCCAUCUCCUCCUCAUCUUCGCUGUUCCUGCAUAGUGAUGAGAGGGAAGAGGUAGAAGGAAACUGUGGUGAGGAGGCGGGGUUUAAACCGAGCGCUGGACCCCUUUUUCUACCUGUCAGAGAAGGGAGCGUCAGAUUCUCUUCCCCCCCUCCCUCCUUCCUCCGGCUCCUCAUUAGUAUGCAGUGGGUGUCGCUCAGGUGACAUGGCUGCUGGAUCCGGUCCCGACUGCAGGAACAGCAGCAGCAGCGUGGAGGAAACAAGGACAACAGGUAAGGACAAUGAGAGCAGGAGGGGGAAACAAAGAGGAGGAGAGACAGAGACGGACUUCUUCUCUGGAACGCUGUAAACAAGCUGAGCUGUUGGGAAUCGUUUCUGAAACUGAAGCGUUCAGCCUGGAUGGAAAAUCUACUCAAAUCAAACUGACGAUUUCAGCUUUUUCACCAGUGACUCUAUUAGUAGUGUCGGUGUUAGGGAAAAGAAAGUCAACCGCAGUGUCCUGUUCUUCAUGUUGUACACAGUGAUUUUUAAUAAACAUCUCAGAAUGAA
Xiphophorus maculatus (southern platyfish) is the source of this 1777-nucleotide long non-coding RNA. RefSeq lists it as uncharacterized. The record is from RefSeq and is a predicted model, not a curated record. The transcript has 3 exons. NCBI's taxonomy places the organism in Eukaryota, Metazoa, Chordata, Actinopteri, Cyprinodontiformes, Poeciliidae.